GACGAACGCUGGCGGCGUGCUUAACACAUGCAAGUCGAGCGGUAAGGCCCUUUCGGGGGUACACGAGCGGCGAACGGGUGAGUAACACGUGGGUGACCUGCCCUCAGCUCUGAGAUAAGCCUGGGAAACUGGGUCUAAUACUGGAUAUGACUCCACGGUGCAUGUCGUGGGGUGGAAAGCCUUGUGCGGCUGAGGAUGGGCCCGCGGCCUAUCAGCUUGUUGGUGGGGUGAUGGCCUACCAAGGCGACGACGGGUAGCCGGCCUGAGAGGGCGACCGGCCACACUGGGACUGAGACACGGCCCAGACUCCUACGGGAGGCAGCAGUGGGGAAUCUUGCGCAAUGGGCGAAAGCCUGACGCAGCGACGCCGCGUGAGGGAUGACGGCCUC
RNAcentral lists this ribosomal RNA (389 nucleotides) under uncultured bacterium. RNAcentral describes it as "bacterial SSU rRNA". It matches the Rfam family "Bacterial small subunit ribosomal RNA", at positions 28 to 418 of the family's 1533-position model. The record is from RNAcentral.